Molecule: ribosomal RNA, 387 nt
Filed under: uncultured bacterium
Lineage: Bacteria
Description: bacterial SSU rRNA
Rfam family: Bacterial small subunit ribosomal RNA
Source: RNAcentral
GACGAACGCUGGCGGCGUGCUUAACACAUGCAAGUCGAGCGGAAAGGCCCUUUCGGGGGUACUCGAGCGGCGAACGGGUGAGUAACACGUGAGUAAUCUGCCCUUGGCUUUGGGAUAACCACCGGAAACGGUGGCUAAUACCGGAUAUGACGGGCUCCGGCAUCGGGGUUCGUGGAAAGUUUUUUCGGCCAGGGAUGUGCUCGCGGCCUAUCAGCUUGUUGGUGGGGUAAUGGCCUACCAAGGCUUCGACGGGUAGCCGGCCUGAGAGGGUGACCGGCCACACUGGGACUGAGACACGGCCCCAGACUCCUACGGGAGGCAGCAGUGGGGAAUAUUGGACAAUGGGCGGAAGCCUGAUCCAGCAACGCCGCGUGAGGGAUGACGGCC